GGAUGUGAGGGAGAUCUGGCUGCAACAUCUGUCAUCCCAUUGAUCGCCAGGGUUGAUUAGGCUGAUCUGGCUGGCUAGGUGGGUGUCCCUUUCCUCCCUCCCCGCUCCAUGUGUGUCCCUCUGGGUCGAAGAAGACAAUCUUCCCCAAUAGAGGAGGGCCGGUCUUCUGUCAAGGGUAUGCGAGUAGCUGUGCUCCCCUGCUAGACCCUCCAAACAAGCUCUCAAGGUUUAGAUAAUGAUUCACGUUUCCCAAUUUACAGUGAGCUGGCAAUGACUUCUUUGACUGUGCGAUAACAUCACUGCAAAGUGCAUUCAUCACAAACCGUGCUUUUGUGUUUGUGUCU
This is a non-coding RNA of Mesocricetus auratus (golden hamster), 344 nucleotides long. The record is from Rfam. Lineage: Eukaryota; Metazoa; Chordata; Mammalia; Rodentia; Cricetidae.